GGCCGAGAAUAAUCUCGGGAAACUGAGGCUAAUGAACGAUAGAUCAAGAUUCCUGGAAUGGGUUUUGGUCUAAACGGCGCGCCAGCAUCUUGGCGUGUCCGCCCGAGGAUGGGACUGCGGCCGAUCAGGCUGUUGGUGGGGUAAAGGCCCACCAAACCAGUAACCGGUACGGGCUCUGAGAGGAGAAGCCCGGAGAUGGGUACUGAGACACGGACCCAGGCCCUAUGGGGCGCAGCAGGCGAGAAACCUUAGCAAUGUGCGAAAGCACGACUAGGUUAAUCCGAGUGGUUUCUGUUGAAGAAACCUUUUGUCAGUCGUAAAACCACAGACGAAUAAGGGGUGGGCAAGUCUGGUGUCAGCCGCCGCGGUAAUACCAGCACCUCGAGUGGUCAGGAGGUUUAUUGGGCCUAAAGCAUCCGUAGCCGGCUUUGCAAGUCUCCGGUUAAAUCCAGCUGCUCAACAGAUGGGCUGCCAGAGAUACUACAAAGCUAGGGAGCGGGAGAGGCAGACGGUAUUCGGUGGGUAGGGGUAAAAUCCUUUGAUCCAUCGAGGA
Molecule: ribosomal RNA, 553 nt
Filed under: uncultured archaeon
Lineage: Archaea
Description: bacterial SSU rRNA
Rfam family: Archaeal small subunit ribosomal RNA
Source: RNAcentral